Molecule: microRNA precursor, 67 nt
Filed under: Bombyx mori (domestic silkworm)
Lineage: Eukaryota; Metazoa; Arthropoda; Insecta; Lepidoptera; Bombycidae
Description: mir-2774 microRNA precursor family
Rfam family: mir-2774 microRNA precursor family
Source: Rfam by way of RNAcentral
ACUAUACAAGGACAGUCGGACUACCAAGCAAUGUCACUCGCUCGGUACAAGAUCUUCCCUUUAUCGU